GGUCCCAUCCCGAACCCGGUCGUUAAGCCCGCCAGCGCCGAUGGUACUGCCCUGGACACGGGGUGGGAGAGUAGGCCAUCGCCAGGA
This 87-nucleotide ribosomal RNA is filed under the name Chloroflexota bacterium. Lineage: Bacteria; Bacillati; Chloroflexota. The record is from RNAcentral.